This 322-nucleotide ribosomal RNA is filed under the name uncultured eukaryote. RNAcentral's name for it is "partial 18S ribosomal RNA". It matches the Rfam family "Eukaryotic small subunit ribosomal RNA", at positions 1470 to 1796 of the family's 1831-position model. The record is from RNAcentral.
CCCUUAGAUGUUCUGGGCCGCACGCGCGCUACACUGACGAUGUCAGAGAGUGUCUCCUUCACCGAGAGGUGUGGGUAAUCUUUUAAACAUCGUCGUGCUGGGGAUAGAUCAUUGCAAUUUUUGAUCUUAAACGAGGAAUUCCUAGUAAGCGCGAGUCAUCAGCUCGCGCUGAUUACGUCCCUGCCCUUUGUACACACCGCCCGUCGCUACUACCGAUUGAAUGCUCAGGUGAGCCAUUCGGACUUUCAUCAUGCUGGUUUCCAGUUUUGAUGAAGGAAAGUCUUGCGAACCUUAUCAUUUAGAGGAAGGAGAAGUCGUAACA